UCUUCUAACAGAUAAGCUUUUUGUUUGCGUUAUGUUUAAAUUAGAAUAUAAGACGAACAAAAAGUUUGUCUGUUUGCAG
Lepisosteus oculatus (spotted gar) is the source of this 79-nucleotide microRNA precursor. Ensembl annotates it as microRNA 208a. Its record names the gene dre-mir-736. NCBI's taxonomy places the organism in Eukaryota, Metazoa, Chordata, Actinopteri, Semionotiformes, Lepisosteidae. The record is from Ensembl.